AUACGUAGGUGGCAAGCGUUGUCCGGAAUUAUUGGGCGUAAAGCGCAUGUAGGCGGUUUGGUAAGUCGGUCGUGAAAAUGCGGUGCUUAACGCCGUAUGGCGAUCGAAACUGCUGAACUUGAGUGCAGGCGAGGAAAGGGGAACUCCCAGUGUAGCGGUGAAAUGCGUAGAUAUUGGGAAGAACACCGGUGGCGAAGGCUCCUUUCUGGACUGUGUCUGACGCUCAGAUGCGAAAGCCAGGGUAGCGAACGGGAUUAGAUACCCCGGUAGUCCUGGCCGUAAACGAUGGGUACUAGGUGUGGGAGGUAUCGACUCCUUCCGUGCCGGAGUUAACGCAAUAAGUACCCCGCCUGGGGAGUACGGCCGCAAGGAUUAAACUCAAAGGAAUUGACGGGGG
This 397-nucleotide ribosomal RNA is filed under the name uncultured bacterium. Its description in RNAcentral is "partial 16S ribosomal RNA". It matches the Rfam family "Bacterial small subunit ribosomal RNA", at positions 523 to 919 of the family's 1533-position model. The record is from RNAcentral.